UGCCUCUUGAAAACACAUAAGAGGUACCUCCUGCCCAGUGAAAAAUUUUAACGGCCGCGGUAUCCUAACCGUGCAAAGGUAGCAUAAUAACUUGUCUAUUAAUUGUAGACUUGAAUGAAAGGAUAAACGAAAUAAGAUCUGUCUCUUCUAGUUUUACUAUAAACUAUAAUUUAGAUGAAGAUAUCUAAAUAUAGAUGAAGGACAAGAAGACCCUAUAGAGCUUUAUCAAAAAAGAAAAGAGCAAAUCUCUUUUAAGAUUCGGUUGGGGCGACCAAGGGAUAACCAUCACCCUUCACACAUAGAUUCAUUAAUCUUAGAUAUGACCCUUAUUAAAGAUCAUAAAAAUAAGCUACCUUAGGGAUAACAGGCUAAUCUUAUUAAAGAGUCCUUAUCUAUAAUAAGGGUUGGCACCUCGAUGUUGGCUUAGGGCAUCUAUAUGGCGCAAAAGUCAUAUAAAGACGGUUUGUUCAACCUUCAAUUCCCU
Molecule: ribosomal RNA, 484 nt
Filed under: Glyphidrilus sp. 2 PP-2016
Lineage: Eukaryota; Metazoa; Annelida; Clitellata; Crassiclitellata; Almidae
Also listed under: 1 other name
Description: partial 16S ribosomal RNA
Rfam family: Bacterial large subunit ribosomal RNA
Source: RNAcentral